AGUAUGCCUUCCUGCACCAGUGUGUGCGGGACGUCCUGAGAGCGAGGAAGCACCGCAGCGAGCAGGAGAACCCGCUGUACCCCAUCUACGAGAACUUCAACCCCGAGUACUGCCGCGACUUCAUCUACACCGGACGCUGAGCAGACGAUCCACAGAGAAGCAUCGAUUAGUCAAAAGGAUACAUUUCAAAUGUGUCGUGCAAAAUGUCUUUAAAAGCUGUUUGUUUCGGGACUCAAAUAUAGGGUUUGUUGCUUUUCUCUGUUUAAUAUCAUACUAAAGUGAACAUUUUAGGGUAUUUUUCACUAUUUUUGAUAUUUUAAAGACAAAAUCAACCUUAAAAAUGUAUAAAAGUAAGCAACUAAAGACGACCAAUUAUCCCUUAUUUUUUUUAUGGAUUAAAAGCAAAUCGAUGUUCCUGGUGUAUCACAGCUGUGACAUGAAGUCAUUACUCGUGGAUAAGUGUUACCCGUUUCAUU
Long non-coding RNA from Notothenia coriiceps (black rockcod), 476 nucleotides. RefSeq lists it as uncharacterized. The transcript has 2 exons. The record is from RefSeq and is a predicted model, not a curated record. Lineage: Eukaryota; Metazoa; Chordata; Actinopteri; Perciformes; Nototheniidae.